AAUUUUUAGUUAUAUAUGUAACAUAACGGGUAACCUGUGGAUUGAAAACUUCAAUAGUGCUGAUUACAAACUUCAGCAUUCUUCAAAUUAUAUCAGACAAAUGAAAGAAAAGACCUUUAUGGGUUUGAGUUUCAAAUUAUUCACUGUCAAAUUAAAGAG
Hibiscus syriacus is the source of this 159-nucleotide long non-coding RNA. RefSeq lists it as uncharacterized. NCBI's taxonomy places the organism in Eukaryota, Viridiplantae, Streptophyta, Magnoliopsida, Malvales, Malvaceae. The record is from RefSeq and is a predicted model, not a curated record. The transcript has 3 exons.